UACAGAGGGGGCAAGCGUUGUCCGGACUUACUGGGCGUAAAGGGUGCGCAGGCGGUCUGAUGCGUCGUCGCUGAAAACUCACAGCUCAACUGUGGGCGUGCGGGCGAUACGGGCAGACUUGAGUACUGCAGGGGAGACUGGAAUUCCUGGUGUAGCGGUGGAAUGCGCAGAUAUCUGGAAGAACACCGGUGGCGAAGGCGGUGGUCUGGGCCUGAACUGACGCUGAGGAGCGAAAGCCAGGGGAGCAAACGGG
RNAcentral lists this ribosomal RNA (253 nucleotides) under uncultured bacterium. Its description in RNAcentral is "partial 16S ribosomal RNA". It matches the Rfam family "Bacterial small subunit ribosomal RNA", at positions 524 to 776 of the family's 1533-position model. The record is from RNAcentral.